Molecule: microRNA, 21 nt
Filed under: Zea mays
Lineage: Eukaryota; Viridiplantae; Streptophyta; Magnoliopsida; Poales; Poaceae
Description: microRNA miR-3048b
Source: RNAcentral
UUGGAUUUUGAUUGGAUGCAC